Molecule: long non-coding RNA, 4344 nt
Organism: Mirounga angustirostris (Northern elephant seal)
Lineage: Eukaryota; Metazoa; Chordata; Mammalia; Carnivora; Phocidae
Exons: 6
Source: RefSeq, a predicted model, not a curated record
UACUUCUGUUUGGUCCAAUAACAGAAGGGGACAGAAGACAAGAACAGCACAUUAACACUGACAUGGAAAUUCUGCAUCAUCAUGGUGCUCAUCAUGAGACUGAUUCCAUUAUAACACACACGAACAUCGAUGUGCCAAAGGAACAAGAAGCUAAAAAAUCUACCCAGCAGGAGCACCUGGAGGAGGCCUGAUUUGACGUGGCCUAGCUUCUGGGACUCACACUGAAUUAUUUGAUUCUGUCCCUUCACUGUCCUUCCCCUCCAGGGAAGGAGACCUCAAGGGGAGGCUACUCCAUCUCCUGCCCACUGCUGCUGGUUUUAUAGCCACACCUCAUUUUCUGGAUGAUAUUCUACUUCCUCAACAGAGCUUCAGUCACAGACUUUGUCAGACUACAUCCAUGGCUGGUCCAGUAGGGAGCUUCCUGGACUGGGCAUUAUGAGACCUGGGUUCUAGAUCUGGCUCUAACUUCAUUUAAUGAUGGGAUCUUGACCCAGUUACUGUGUACUCCUGGAACUCAGCUUCGUCAUCUGUACAGUGAGUCUGUUGGAAGAUUCCCUGCAGUGUGUCCGUAGCCCCUGUGUGUUUAGCUCCCACACACCUGUUCUCAAGCCCAUUCUCCCUUUGCUCUGCUUGACCAUAGAGGCUGAAAGGAGAAACACUCUAUUUCCCUCCUCCUUCACUGCCAGGGCAGUCAUGCGACACAGUUCUGACCAGUGAGCCUCACAGGAAAGCCUGCCCAGAGGUCUUGAUGAAAGCUUUUGUUUUCCUAACCAGGUGAAUAGAUCCAGCUGAUGCUCUCCUUCCCACUCCUGUCUGUUCAGUUGUGACGAAUACCAAAAUGCUGAGUAAGGUGGGUCAGAAAGCCUGAAAGAGCCUGGCCCAGAGAGCUGCAGAUCAGCUGAACCACUGUGACUCACCCCUUGCCUCUGAACAUCUUGUUACAUGAGAAAAAUAGUCCCCUACCACUGAAGCCACUGUUCGCCAGACUUUCUGUUAUUUGUAGCUGAAUAUAUUCCUCACUGACACAAGCUUUUACAUUCAGGGCUGAAAAUUACAAUCAGUUCAGAUCUGGGCCAAGGUCAUUGAUGGAAAGAGGCAUUGCAACCACAAAAAAUUAUCUGCAUCUUUGAGUUCAUUGGGAUAUAGAACAUAAGCAAUAAGCUGGAGUUCAAUGUUUCUGGAUGGCAAUGGUUUCUAUCUAGAACCAAGUUUAUUUAUCCUAUCAAAGGGUUUGUAAACUGGAAGCCAAAUAUUGCCUAUUGCUGACCAGGGUGUGUGUGUGUGUGUGUGUGUGUGUUUACCAUUUACCAGUGUGUGUGUGUGUGUGUGUGUUUACCAUUUACCAGUUUUAAUGCCUUUGGAACCUUCUAAGGUAUCUUUCUCACUCAUUUAUCCUGGCCAAAAUAUUAAUGAUGGCUAUGGCUUGAUUUUGCAAAGUCUUUUCCUCCAAGUAGAUUCUACUUGCUAGAGGAUGCUUUUGAUACCCUUCCCAAUUCACUAGGGAAUCGAUGUGUUUAAGUGACAAGUCAAAGGCUGAGUCCACAGUCUAGAAGCUGGCUCUGGGCUUCCAUGCUGAGGCACAUGGUGUUGUAUCUGUCAACCCUUUGUAGGGUUAGGGCACGUGUGCUCAGAGGGCUCCCCAUCCAGCCUGUCUACUCCACAACAGCUGCUUGACUGACCCAAGAACCACACUCCUUUUGGUUCAAGGGACUUUGCUACAAACCCAGACAAUUGGGUCUGGGGUGUCGGCAGAAUGGGAUGGAAGGACAGUGACACAGACCCAGUGGAAUAAGGUCAGUGUCACUGGGAACAGGCAGGGUCAGUGCUUCACCUGAGGAGAAACUUUCAGGGGCUGUCCCCUGCUCUCCAGGACUCUGUGGCUUGCUCUGGUGGAUUGUGAAGAUGGACUGGGAUUGUGAAGACAGAGUGGGAUCGUGAAGAUGAACUGGGAUUUUGAAGACGGAUUGGGCGCAAAGUCAUUUUGGCACAAAACAGCUGCCACUAUUAUGUCCAUUUCAGAAAAAGUGACGUUGUAUGAAUGAAAGCAGAUUUGUCAUCAUUCCCUCAGGAUUGUGCUGGAACUUCUCUGAUGGACUCCUGGACUUCCUUAAGGUUUUAUUUAUUUAUUUGAGAGAGAGAAUGAGACAGAGAGCAUGAGAGGGAAGAGGGCAGAGGGAGAAGCAGACCCCCUGCUGAGCAGGGAGCCUGAUGUGGGACUCGAUCCUGGGACUCCAGGAUCAUGACCUGAGCCGAAGGCAGUUGCUUAACCAACUGAGCCACCCAGGCGCCCGGACUCCUGGACUUCCACAUUGCUCUUGCAGACCUGUUCUCUGCAACUAUCAUGGAGGGCACACCUAGCAGUCAUGCUCAGAGGGAAUCACUUGACAGAUGCCCGACUAAGAUUUUUCUUCUGUUGAGGGGGUAUUGGUUACACCUGCUCAAAACUGUUUCCAGGGCAUAAUAAUACAGAGUCUCAAUGAAGAGGUACAGAAAGUUACGAGAGAGAAGCACUCCAACUAAAAGACAAGGCUGUGGCAUGAGAUGAACUGCGAGACUGUUGAGACAAAAGAUUGCAGAAAGACUAAGAGCACGACGGCAGGAUUAGAACCCACAUCUGACAAUGGUAAUCGCAGAAUUAAUCCCAGGAACACAAAUGAGUGAUGAGAGGACAAAUUUGGGAAGGUGUUCUAGAAGACUGAAGAAAAGAUCAAUCAGAGAAGGGAAAAAGAGUAAGAGAGGAUCAUAGACAUGGAAGACAGAGAAUUGAGAUUCAAGAGAACUGCCGUCUCAGGAGAGCAAGGAGGGCCUGAGUUAGUGCAGCACCACUGCCACCUACUGGGGAGGAGAGGACACUGCCAGGGAGGCAGAAGCAACACACUGGUCCUAGAGCUUUUCUGGGGGCCCCGUCUUCUCUCUAUCGAGGCCUUGCAAGAUGACCACCAGAAGACAACUUUCAAGCCACCUCACAAUAAACAGGAAGCUUCACGCAGCCAGUUGUUGGGGAUACACGGCAAAAUAUCAGGUAAAAAGAAAUCAUGUUUUGAAGAUCAAAAUCCUUUCCAACUUUAUUUGGAAUGCUCCUAAUUCAGCAGGGAACUAUUUUGGGAGAUGGAGUGUUUUCCAGAAGUUUUUAUAAUCUCCUAUAAACUUCUCAGUGUGUAAGUGUGAAUUUUGAAAGGCUAUUUAUUGGGGUGUUAUUUGUUUGUUUUUAUGGAGGGGGGAUACUUAUUAUCAUGCAGUAGUUGAAAAAGCCUGCAAAUUGGAGCCAUGAUGUUUGCGUUUGGCCCCAUUAACGGAGGGAUCUUGAACAAGUCAUUCACCCUCAUUGUCCCUCAAGGUUCUUAUCUGCCACACAAGAGGAUGGAACGCUUAGCAGCGCUGUUGCAGGAAUGAAUAAAAUAGUGCCUGCAGAUGGACCCUGUACAUGGUAAAAUGAUUUUUAAAGGGUAGUUAUUAUUGUUUAUUGAAGAUAAACAUAUGCCCUGUGGAAUUUUAGAGUCUGCUCUCUGUGGGAACUUUCAGUCUCUGGUGAGAGAUAAAGGAAGAAAGACUAUGAAUGAAUGAACAGAUACUCUGGGUGGCAGGAAGAAAGGAAAGAAAAGCUUAUUUAGAAUGGAAAAAUGCACUUCAAAAACAUAAACCCAAACCAUAUACAUAAAUAGGGAACAUUUCCUGUGCUCCCAGAAUCUCUGCAGAUUCUACCGAUGGGUUCUACUAAAAGGUUCACAUGGAAAUGAUCUCUUUGGGGGAAUUUUUAGAAUGACUGUUAAAAACAUUGCAUGGUUUGUGGUUCUUUGCACCGUGAGAACAAUGGAAUUUGUUUCAAUAGCUGUUAGUUCAAUCUUUUCCCUUCGCGAGUAGAAACGACAGCACAAUCUUUAAAAGCAUAUUUCUAAGAUGAAUAUUUUGCUGCUAAUUUUUGUGGUUGUUGUUCAGAAAAGGAUUCUAGAUCUGACAUACAAUGGGAGUUGAGAAUCCUUUCGUGGUUUCUUCUUGUGAGAACAAUGCGCCUAGCUUCCGUUCCGUGUAGCCAGGUGAGGAAAGAACAGACCUGUGCCAGAGUGAAGUGAGCAUCUUGACUUAGACAGUCAGUCAUGGAGCCCAAGAGACCUAGGUGGCCUGAGCAGGGGGCUUCACGGCCCCGGCUGUUACCCACGUGGUUGCAAGCACCUCACAGCCCUCGGAUGUGUGACUUUGGGAAAGCGACUCGGCUAAUUUGAGCGUCUGCAUUGUGAAGGAUUACAUGACUUGCCAGGCUUAUAAUGGACUGCGUUGUGGAUGUUGAGUCUCUGGACAGGUGAGUUCAAGUGCUCUAUGCAGGGGCGGGACAUUCGAGGAGAAGGA